GAAUACUGCACUGGCGAUGGCAGGCGGGGAACGCCUCGGUCCUAACGAGGAAGUUGCUGGUUCGAUUCCAGCCGGGAGUAUUUACCA
This 87-nucleotide transfer RNA is filed under the name Patescibacteria group bacterium. RNAcentral's name for it is "tRNA-Arg". The record is from RNAcentral.